GAUGAACGCUGGCGGCGUGCCUAAUACAUGCAAGUCGAGCGAACAGACGAGGAGCUUGCUCCUCUGACGUUAGCGGCGGACGGGUGAGUAACACGUGGAUAACCUACCUAUAAGACUGGGAUAACUUCGGGAAACCGGAGCUAAUACCGGAUAAUAUAUUGAACCGCAUGGUUCAAUAGUGAAAGACGGUUUUGCUGUCACUUAUAGAUGGAUCCGCGCCGCAUUAGCUAGUUGGUACGGUAACGGCUUACCAAGGCAACGAUGCGUAGCCGAACUGAGAGGGUGAUCGGCCACACUGGAACUGAGACACGGUCCAGACUCCUACGGGAGGCAGCAGUAGGGAAUCUUCCGCAAUGGGCGAAAGCCUGACGGAGCAGCGCCGCGUGAGUGAUGAAGGUCUUCGGAUCGUAAAACUCUGUUAUGAGGGAAGAACAAAUGUGUAAGUAACUAUGCACGUCUUGACGGUACCUAAUCAGAAAGCCACGGCUAACUACGUG
RNAcentral lists this ribosomal RNA (497 nucleotides) under uncultured bacterium. RNAcentral describes it as "partial 16S ribosomal RNA". It matches the Rfam family "Bacterial small subunit ribosomal RNA", at positions 28 to 507 of the family's 1533-position model. The record is from RNAcentral.